AGUUACCUACAAGCACGUCUCGAUACCUUGGCUUAAUAAAGGCCAGUUGUGAAGUGUUUGGGGGAACUCU
Zea mays is the source of this 70-nucleotide non-coding RNA. The record is from RefSeq and is marked provisional. Lineage: Eukaryota; Viridiplantae; Streptophyta; Magnoliopsida; Poales; Poaceae.